RNAcentral lists this transfer RNA (57 nucleotides) under Loxodonta africana (African savanna elephant). It matches the Rfam family "tRNA", at positions 8 to 63 of the family's 71-position model. From Rfam's summary of the family: Transfer RNA (tRNA) molecules are approximately 80 nucleotides in length. Their secondary structure includes four short double-helical elements and three loops (D, anti-codon, and T loops). Lineage: Eukaryota; Metazoa; Chordata; Mammalia; Proboscidea; Elephantidae. The record is from Rfam by way of RNAcentral.
UAGCAUAGUGGUUAAGCACUUGGCUGCUAACCAAAAGGUCGGUGGUUCGACCCUACC